This 213-nucleotide ribosomal RNA is filed under the name Triticum aestivum (bread wheat). Its description in RNAcentral is "partial small subunit ribosomal RNA". Lineage: Eukaryota; Viridiplantae; Streptophyta; Magnoliopsida; Poales; Poaceae. The record is from RNAcentral.
AUGCAAUUUUCCGUAUACCUAGUUAUGUUAUUACUUACGUCGACAAAGAAUAAAACUAUCAUUUUUUUUCCCUUUCCUAGUUCUUCUUCCAAGCUCAGGAUAACUCCAAGGGGCUGUGAGUUUUUUACAAAUGGGAGCUUUCCCUUCACCUCCCCAAUGAGGGUGGUUCACAGAGUUAAUAACUACCCUUCUUACUACAGGGCAUUUUCCUAG